RNAcentral lists this ribosomal RNA (216 nucleotides) under Glomeromycotina sp. RNAcentral describes it as "partial small subunit ribosomal RNA". The stretch from base 40 to 216 matches the Rfam family "Eukaryotic small subunit ribosomal RNA", at positions 686 to 864 of the family's 1831-position model. Lineage: Eukaryota; Fungi; Glomeromycota. The record is from RNAcentral.
GGGUCAGGAGGUUGGUCGUGCCACCGGUACGUACUGGUCUCACUGAUUCCUCCUUCCUGAAGAACCGUAAUGCCAUUAAUUUGGUGUUGCGGGGAAACAGGACUGUUACUUUGAAAAAAUUAGGGUGUUUAAAGCAAGCUAACGCUUGAAUACAUUAGCAUGGAAUAAUGAAAUAGGACGAUCGAUCCUAUUUUGUUGGUUUCUAGGAUUGACGUA